CUCCUAUUGCUGCGCUGCUUAAAGCUUUGGAGUUUCUUUGCCCAAUCUUGUACAUGCAAGCUGAGAUUAGUUGCAUGUGCUGCUGUCCAAGCUGGUUCCUACUGCUGCUGGUGCUGUACCUACUAUUGUACCUGCAUUGACUUUUGAUGCAUAAAUGUCUUACUGUGACGGUAAAGCAACAGAGUUUCCUGACACUUUCUCCCUUCGGUGCCACGUAAUGACAUUUCCGCAAUAGUGCAUGUCAUGUGCAUAUACAGGCCAGCAUGUCCUCGCAGGGGGGGGGGGUUGAUAUACAUUGUUGUUGCUUUUACUUAACAGCUCAAGCUUUUAGGAUGAGCGGUUGUAACAAUUAAAACUAUGACUAGUAUGUUCCUUAGUAAGGAAGAAAAGAAGCAACUGCUGUGCUGAAGGUAUCUGAUAGAAAGUUCUCUUGUGAUGAAACAUAGUAGGAAAUUAUGAAAUGCUCUUCCCACAAUCAAAAGAAGAAAUUCAUGCAUCAGUAUUUCCACAGAAAUUCAGGCAAAAUAUAAUCCUCUGAGAAAUUUCAAGGAA
Molecule: long non-coding RNA, 552 nt
Organism: Macadamia integrifolia
Lineage: Eukaryota; Viridiplantae; Streptophyta; Magnoliopsida; Proteales; Proteaceae
Exons: 2
Source: RefSeq, a predicted model, not a curated record